Triticum aestivum (bread wheat) is the source of this 559-nucleotide long non-coding RNA. RefSeq lists it as uncharacterized. Lineage: Eukaryota; Viridiplantae; Streptophyta; Magnoliopsida; Poales; Poaceae. The record is from RefSeq and is a predicted model, not a curated record. The transcript is spliced from 3 exons.
GCACUACAAAACUGAGAAAGACCCAUAACUUUUUACAGGAUCGUUUCUACAUACUACAAAUAGAGGGAAGUUGGCUUGUGCCUUACUAGAGACAGAUGAACCAAUAAAAUGAUUGGAAAGGCUCUUUCCAAGCAUAAGAGGAGCUUUUGAAGGGACUGAAGAACCGGAACCUCCCCUCCUCCCUCCCGCGACGCUCCCGCAGGCGUCCGGGGGGCAACCCUAGCACCGCCGCCGGUCCCCCCUCCUCCUCUCCCUCCGCCCUCGCGGCCGCCCGGGGGCGCGAGCGGGCGAAGCCCGCUCAUCGCUGGCGGCGGCGGGGCCUUCUCGUCUCCGCGCGUGGGGGUUUCUUCGAGGGUCGGACGCCUCUGGCCGGAUGCGGCGCUUGGCGCUGGCCGUGGCAGCUCGGCAGCGCGCCGAUGUGGGCUGUCGGCGGCGCAUGCCAGCGAUGCGAUGGGCAGUGCGGUGGUGGUGCAGGCUGGAGGCUGGUGGUGGCGGCGGCGCGCCCAGAUCCGCCUCUGGCGCCGCGAGUUGCGGGCGACCUGGGUCGCGGUCGGCCUUC